RNAcentral lists this microRNA precursor (62 nucleotides) under Parasteatoda tepidariorum (common house spider). RNAcentral describes it as "microRNA pte-mir-35r precursor (pte-mir-35r 1 to 3)". Its record names the gene pte-mir-35r-1. Lineage: Eukaryota; Metazoa; Arthropoda; Arachnida; Araneae; Theridiidae. The record is from miRBase by way of RNAcentral.
AGAAAUUUUUCAUCCCAGUUAAUUUUAUUUUUGAAUUAAAUCACUGGGAGGAAAGUUUCUAU